RNAcentral lists this ribosomal RNA (582 nucleotides) under uncultured bacterium. Its description in RNAcentral is "partial 16S ribosomal RNA". It matches the Rfam family "Bacterial small subunit ribosomal RNA", at positions 355 to 932 of the family's 1533-position model. The record is from RNAcentral.
UGGGGAAUAUUGGACAAUGGGCGCAAGCCUGAUCCAGCAAUGCCGCGUGUGUGAAGAAGGCCUUCGGGUUGUAAAGCACUUUUAUCAGGAGCGAAACGCUGUCGGCUAAUACCCGGCGGAACUGACGGUACCUGAGGAAUAAGCACCGGCUAACUUCGUGCCAGCAGCCGCGGUAAUACGAAGGGUGCAAGCGUUAAUCGGAAUUACUGGGCGUAAAGCGUGCGUAGGCGGUUUCUUAAGUCUGCUGUGAAAUCCCCGGGCUCAACCUGGGAAUGGCAGUGGAUACUGGGAGGCUAGAGUGUGUCAGAGGGUGGUGGAAUUCCCGGUGUAGCGGUGAAAUGCGUAGAGAUCGGGAGGAACAUCAGUGGCGAAGGCGGCCACCUGGGACAACACUGACGCUGAGGCACGAAAGCGUGGGGAGCAAACAGGAUUAGAUACCCUGGUAGUCCACGCCCUAAAGCGAUGCGAACUGGAUGUUGGUCUCAACUCGGAGAUCAGUGUCGAAGCUAACGCGUUAAGUUCGCCGCCUGGGGAGUACGGUCGCAAGACUGAAACUCAAAGGAAUUGACGGGGUCAUAGCUG